GAAAUGCGAUAAGUAAUGCGAAUUGCAGAAUUCAGUGAGUCAUCGAAUCUUUGAACGCACAUUGCGCCCUGUGGUAUUCCGCAGGGCAUGCCUGUUCGAGCGUCAUUUCAACCCUCAAGCUCCGCUUGGUGUUGGGCCAUGCCCCCGCGGCCGGCCCUAAAGCUAGUGGCGGUGCCGUCUGGCUCUAAGCGUAGUACAUCUCUCGCUCUAGGGCCCGGCGGUCGCCUGCCAGAACCCACACUCUUAUGGUUGACCUCGGAUCAGGUAGGGAUACCCGCUGAACUUAA
This 287-nucleotide unclassified non-coding RNA is filed under the name uncultured Oidiodendron. Its description in RNAcentral is "sequence contains ITS1". The stretch from base 1 to 105 matches the Rfam family "5.8S ribosomal RNA", at positions 50 to 154 of the family's 154-position model. The record is from RNAcentral. Lineage: Eukaryota; Fungi; Ascomycota; Leotiomycetes; Myxotrichaceae.